UACAGAGGGGGCAAGCGUUGUUCGGAAUUACUGGGCGUAAAGAGUGUGUAGGCGGUGUUCCAAGUCUGGUGUGAAAUCUCCCGGCUUAACUGGGAGGGUGCAUUAGAAACUGGAAUGCUAGAGGAUGGGAGAGGUAAGCGGAAUUCCUGGUGUAGCGGUGAAAUGCGUAGAUAUCAGGAGGAACACCUGUGGUGUAGACAGCUUACUGGACCAUUUCUGACGCUGAGACACGAAAGCGUGGGUAGCAAACAGG
RNAcentral lists this ribosomal RNA (253 nucleotides) under uncultured bacterium. RNAcentral describes it as "partial 16S ribosomal RNA". It matches the Rfam family "Bacterial small subunit ribosomal RNA", at positions 524 to 776 of the family's 1533-position model. The record is from RNAcentral.